UGGCAGUGGUCCUUCUAAUGCUGAAAAGAAUGCAACUCAGGUUGAUAUUGUUGUACCAAAUGAUACAUUGAGUAAUGCACAAUUAAAGAAAAAAGAGGUCCGCAUAAGAAGUUCAAAGAGACAAAAAUUUGGGUGGGAAGGAAAGCACAAGGGGAGGAAAAAAGGACAAAGCAAAAAUAUAUUGCAUGUACAAGCACCGAAGGUAUAUCAAAAUUCUGAACAAGCACAAGAGGUAAAGGAAACAAGCAAUCCAGCAAGUAUUGACAUUCAGUUCCAUAAAGAAUAUAACACCAUCAAUUCUUUCACUCAACUGUUGACUGGAGCAAGCAGUGAUGAUCUAAAAACUGAAAAUUUCUUUGAGCUGUGAAGCAAGUCAAUGCUAUUUUGUAGUUUAUUGUUGUAUCUUGUUAUUGCUAACUGCAAGGUAGAUGGAGUGUUCAGUGAAAACAAUAUCAAGUGGAUCAAUACUUGUAUUCACUUUCUUUCAUAUCCAGUUUAAACAAU
Zea mays is the source of this 504-nucleotide long non-coding RNA. RefSeq lists it as uncharacterized. The transcript is spliced from 2 exons. NCBI's taxonomy places the organism in Eukaryota, Viridiplantae, Streptophyta, Magnoliopsida, Poales, Poaceae. The record is from RefSeq and is a predicted model, not a curated record.